GACGAACGCUGGCGGCGUGCUUAACACAUGCAAGUCGAACGAUGAAGCCUAGCUUGCUAGGUGGAUUAGUGGCGAACGGGUGAGUAAUACGUGAGUAACCUACCUUUAACUCUGGGAUAAGCCUGGGAAACUGGGUCUAAUACCGGAUACGACCAAUCUCCGCAUGGGGUGUUGGUGGAAAGCGUUAUGUAGUGGUUAUAGAUGGGCUCACGGCCUAUCAGCUUGUUGGUGAGGUAACGGCUCACCAAGGCGACGACGGGUAGCCGGCCUGAGAGGGUGACCGGCCACACUGGGACUGAGACACGGCCCAGACUCCUACGGGAGGCAGCAGUGGGGAAUAUUGCACAAUGGGCGCAAGCCUGAUGCAGCGACGCCGCGUGAGGGAUGACGGCCUUCGGGUUGUAAACCUCUGUUAGCAGGGAAGAAGAGAAAUUGACGGUACCUGCAGAGAAAGCGCCGGCUAACUACGUGCCAGCAGCCGCGGUAAUACGUAGGGCGCGAGCGUUGUCCGGAAUUAUUGGGCGUAAAGAGCUUGUAGGCGGUUUGUCGCGUCUGCUGUGAAAGGCCGGGGCUUAACCCCGUGUAUUGCAGUGGGUACGGGCAGACUAGAGUGCAGUAGGGGAGACUGGAAUUCCUGGUGUAGCGGUGGAAUGCGCAGAUAUCAGGAGGAACACCGAUGGCGAAGGCAGGUCUCUGGGCUGUAACUGACGCUGAGAAGCGAAAGCAUGGGGAGCGAACAGG
This 741-nucleotide ribosomal RNA is filed under the name Rothia mucilaginosa. Its description in RNAcentral is "bacterial SSU rRNA". It matches the Rfam family "Bacterial small subunit ribosomal RNA", at positions 28 to 776 of the family's 1533-position model. Lineage: Bacteria; Bacillati; Actinomycetota; Actinomycetes; Micrococcales; Micrococcaceae. The record is from RNAcentral.